RNAcentral lists this long non-coding RNA (203 nucleotides) under Lathyrus oleraceus (garden pea). RNAcentral describes it as "Pisum sativum (pea) long non-coding RNA (PSAT_LNC014399)". Lineage: Eukaryota; Viridiplantae; Streptophyta; Magnoliopsida; Fabales; Fabaceae. The record is from RNAcentral.
AACUUUAUAACAAUUUCAAGGGAUAAAAACAAGGGAUAAAAUUUAUGGGAUAAAAUUAUGAGAUAAUUUUAGGGAUAAUAUGAGAUAAAAUUAUGGGAUAUAUUUUUUUGGAUUUUAGGGAUAAGUAAGCAGGAAUAUGAUAUUUUGUUACUUUAUAAUCAUCAAAUAUUGUUAUGGGUUUAUUUUCUAAAAUUAAAAUAUUC